AUGGUGUCUGUCAAAAUCCUUGCCCUCCUCAUGGCAGUGCUCCCAGGAGUCUGUGCCCAGGUGCAGCUGGUGCAGUCCGGGGCAGAGGUGAAGAGACCUGGGGAGUCUCUGAAGAUCUCCUGCAAGGCAUCUGGAUACAGCUUUACUAGCGAGUGGAUCAGCUGGGUGCGGCAGAUGCCCGGAAAAGGCUUGGAGUGGGUGGGAGACAUAUAAUCCUGGUGGUUCUGAUCCCAGGUACAGCCCGUUCUUCCAAGGCCAAGUCACCAUCUCCAGAGACAACUCCAUCAGCACCACCUUCCUGCAGUGGAGCGGCCUGAAGGCCACGGACACAGCCAUGUAUUACUGUGUGAGGGGCACAGUGAGAGAAACCACAUCCCGAGAGGGACAGAAACCCUCAGCCAGCUGUGGAUGCAGAGCAGAGCCCUCAGGGGCACAUCCACCCGGGAUAAGUGAAAACCACAUUUGA
Molecule: non-coding RNA, 466 nt
Organism: Orycteropus afer afer
Lineage: Eukaryota; Metazoa; Chordata; Mammalia; Tubulidentata; Orycteropodidae
Source: RefSeq, a predicted model, not a curated record